RNAcentral lists this microRNA precursor (67 nucleotides) under Bombyx mori (domestic silkworm). RNAcentral describes it as "mir-2774 microRNA precursor family". It matches the Rfam family "mir-2774 microRNA precursor family". Lineage: Eukaryota; Metazoa; Arthropoda; Insecta; Lepidoptera; Bombycidae. The record is from Rfam by way of RNAcentral.
ACAACAUCUGGACCAUCGGUCUACCGAGCAAUAUCACCCGCUCGGUGGAAGAUCUUCCUUUCGUCGU